UUUUUUUUUUUUUUUUGGUGAUACCUGUGAGACCUUUGACAUGAGUUUAUAUCUUUAUUUGUUUUCUUUUUUUUAAAAAAGAACUUAUUGACAGUCAGCAUUUUAACAUAAUACUGGGCAAAAUUUGGACUCAAGGACUCAACUGGCUUUAGAAGCAUUUCUAUGUGGUAGAGAUGUAUAUAUUGUGCUCUCAUAGUUCAUUGCUAUUAAAGCUAAAAGUAUGUAAUUUAUUUUUUCCAAUGUUGCAGUAUAUCUUUUCUGAAAUUCUAUAGCAUAAUUGCCAUUACCUCUGUUAACUUGAAUUAUUUUUGAAAGUUCAGAACUUGUUUGUCUUUUUAAAAUAUUACAUGCCCAGUGCAUGAUAUAUCAUAGGUUCCUAAUAGGUACUGGUUGAUAACUUUUUUCAAUAAAUAAAGUCCUUGUCAAAUGACACGAAUCUCUUGAAAAUUACAUUUUUCCUUUUAAAUUGGCCCUCUGGUUUAUCUAUAAUUCAAUCAGUUUAGUUAUAAGUUAAUUUUGCUGAGUCUGAUCAAUUCAAUGUUCUAACAAGAUCAAUUUUGUGAACCCGCGAGGUUGACUGUAGUCUCUAGACAAUACUCAAAACACUGAUUCUAUUCUGGGAUGCCUCCUAAUAUCCGCCUUCACCUCCCAUGGCAACAUAUUUAUUUUUCUAAAAAUUUUCUUUCAAAUAGUUUCUGGUUUUUAAAUUCCAUUUUUUAAAAAAUUCAAGUAUGUUGACACACAAUGUUAAAAAUCCAAUUUUAAAAUGGAUAAUUAAUUAUGUGUUUGACAAGUGUUGAAAAUCUUUUUAUAACCUAUUUACCAGCAGCUCUUGGACUGAGUAGUGACCUUGAUUAGCAAACCAAUUUAUGCAAUCAGUUUAUUUAUUAAAAUAUUUAAUCUAUUCUUCUGGGAAAAAAAUAAAAUGAUACCAGAAAAUUAAAAUGAUACUAGAACUUGUCAAAAGAAAAGCUGGUCAUGUAUACAAAACAGAUGAAAGCUCUCUCCUUAUUUUGCUGUCCAUGAGACAGAUUCACUGAGCAAUUUAGUCAAUCACAAAUCUAGUAACAGGUUAAUGAUGCAAAUUUCAUCAAAACAGUUGAACUGAUAUGCAUAUAUAGACACCAUCAAUAAUUGAAUGUCUUUAGAUUUUUAAAAUAAAUUAUAGAGGACUCAACUGAAUAAACAGAGUUGACAUUAUACGUGUUCAACAGUAUUUACACACUAUUAAGAGAAAACUCUCAUUAGUAGUUUCAUUAAGAAACAAAGAAAACAAGAACAAUUUUGAAAAGUUUGCUUUAAAGGAGACCUUAAAGAGAGAGAGACUAGGAAAACUUCGUUGUCCCAUUUCAGGUUCAGGAAAUAAUAUUUAAAAGGCUUUUAUCUAAACUAAUUAAGAAAAGAUGUUGUUACACACGUGUGAAUUUUAUAUGACACAAUAAAGAGCAUUGGACAUAUUAGGGAUUUUGUGCCAGUGAUGAAUAUACUACCUCCUUAAUUUUGAAAAAGGAGAGUGCCAAAUAAUACUUCACCAAUACCAAGUGAUUUUUGAUUGAUUAUGUCUGAGUUUGAUUAUGAACUCUCUGGAGAACCUCUUCAUUUUAAAUAUUUACCUGAAUAUCUAAGUACAUUUUUAGAUCGCAUAUCUUCUAUUUACAAUUCUCUAUAGGUAGUUCCAUUCUCAGUUUGCUUCAUUUGAAAUAAUUUUCUGCUUGAAAAAAUAUGCUGCAGAAAGUAGCAAGAAAAAAAAAUCUCUACCUGAGUGCUGCAGUGUUUGCUUUAGUUGAACUCUAACGGACAAAAGCCGGGGGCGGGGGGAUACAUAUCUGAAUUAUCUAAAUCUAGAUCUAGUACAAAUAUUAUACAUUGAGGACCAAAGUAUGAUUUAAAUACAUGUGUCAAUAAGUUUCUGUGAA
Molecule: long non-coding RNA, 1916 nt
Filed under: Canis lupus familiaris (dog)
Lineage: Eukaryota; Metazoa; Chordata; Mammalia; Carnivora; Canidae
Description: lncRNA (ENSCAFG00845026013.1)
Source: RNAcentral